This 328-nucleotide RNase MRP RNA is filed under the name Gonapodya prolifera JEL478. RNAcentral describes it as "RNase MRP". It matches the Rfam family "RNase MRP". Rfam says of the family: RNase MRP is an enzymatically active ribonucleoprotein with two distinct roles in eukaryotes. In mitochondria it plays a direct role in the initiation of mitochondrial DNA replication. Lineage: Eukaryota; Fungi; Monoblepharomycota; Monoblepharidomycetes; Monoblepharidales; Gonapodyaceae. The record is from Rfam by way of RNAcentral.
CGCCACACGCGAAGAAUCGCCUACGAAGCGCAACAGACGGGAGGUCGUUUCGGCGACCUUCAAUCAUGCUUUGGGGAAAUUCCUCGGACCACUGGCAGAGAGUGUCGUCGCUAGUGCGAGUCGCCAUGCACUUUUGCGCAUCGCUGGUCGGAAUCCUCGUUCCACUGAGACGCCCUAGGGAAGAGUGGAGGUUCCUGACUGGGUCAUCGUUGUGCAGUUUGGGUGUCAUCGGCGUUUGUCAUACCUGACAGUUAUGCGAUUGCUGUGUCAGAAGUGCUGAAAAGUGCAUCUGGCAUGGAAACACAACGAGGAUUACUCUCGCAGUGGC